GACGAACGCUGGCGGCGUGCCUAAUACAUGCAAGUCGAACGCAGUGGGGACGGGUGAGUAACACGUGGGUAACCUCCCAUCAGAGGGGAUAACCCUUGGAAACAGGUGCUAAACCGAUACUGAUGGAUGGACCCGCGGUGCAUUAGCUUGUUGGUGAGGUAACGGCUCACCAAGGCCACGAUGCAUAGCCGAGCUGAGAGGGUGAUCAGCCACACUGGGACUGAGACACGGCCCAGACUCCUACGGGAGGCAGCAGUGGGGAAUAUUCGGCAAUGGGCGAAAGUCUGACCGAGCAACGCCGCGUGAAUGAAGAAGGUUUUCGGAUCGUAAAGCUCUGUUGUUGGAGAAGCGGUAUCUAACCAGGAAGCCACGGCUAACUACGUGCCAGCAGCCGCGGUAAUUC
Molecule: ribosomal RNA, 403 nt
Filed under: uncultured bacterium
Lineage: Bacteria
Description: partial 16S ribosomal RNA
Rfam family: Bacterial small subunit ribosomal RNA
Source: RNAcentral